GGACUACCCGGGUAUCUAAUCCUGUUUGCUCCCCACGCUUUCGUGCUUCAGUGUCAGUGCUGGUCCAGGUAGCCGCCUUCGCCACUGGUGUUCCUCCCGAUCUCUACGCAUUUCACUGCUACACCGGGAAUUCCACUACCCUCUACCGCACUCUAGCUGUCCAGUAUCCACUGCCAUUCCCAGGUUGAGCCCGGGGCUUUCACAGCAGACUUAAACAACCACCUACGCACCCUUUACGCCCAGUAAUUCCGAGUAACGCUUGCACCCUUCGUAUUACCGCGGCUGCUGGCAC
This 292-nucleotide ribosomal RNA is filed under the name uncultured bacterium. RNAcentral describes it as "partial 16S ribosomal RNA". The record is from RNAcentral.